This 706-nucleotide long non-coding RNA is filed under the name Medicago truncatula (barrel medic). Its description in RNAcentral is "lncRNA gene1206". Lineage: Eukaryota; Viridiplantae; Streptophyta; Magnoliopsida; Fabales; Fabaceae. The record is from RNAcentral.
CACGAACACAUGCGUAAGAGCAAAGAACCGAACUCCACAUCCAGUAACCGGAGAGCAGAAACUCCGCAACCAGCAACUGAGAAAAAAAACAGCUCCACCACCUAGCAAAAAGGACCCCCAUCAUCCGAAGUAGAUGAGGCACACCCAAAACCUUAAAAUACCCACAAAUCGAGCUCAGUCUAGUGAAGAUCUACAAAUCAAGGAACGUCACCACCAACCAAACUGGAACCUCCCAAACAGUUGCAACAACGGCAGAAACAGGGCAAACUUGCGUCCAAACUAGAUAUGACGACGACCAAAGAGCAAACACGAACGAAAGUUGAGGGUCGCCGGUGGUGUGGAGAACCAACGAUCUCGUCCACCACCAAAGAAAGAUAAUACAUCGGGCCUUGUUGUUUGGAUGCGAAGGGGAAGAAAGGAGGAAGUUUGUGGUGGUGUUUAUUAAGAAGGAAAAGAGAGGUUGAUGGGUAGUGAGAGACGAGCUCUAAACCUGUUAUUUUAAUUAACUCCACUCAGAUCUCGGGGCACUGUUUUUAAUUAAUUUGAAGUACCUUUUGAAUUAGAAGAAUGUGUGAAACUCUUGUGUGAUUAAAUUUUAUUUGUGAUUUAAAUUAGAAAAAUACUAGUUAUGUUAGGGUGUUACAUGUAAUGCUUAUUAAAACAUAAAUUUGUGUGUAUACAUUAUAGUUUAUAUUUAUGGUCUAUC